Molecule: ribosomal RNA, 658 nt
Filed under: uncultured bacterium
Lineage: Bacteria
Description: bacterial SSU rRNA
Rfam family: Bacterial small subunit ribosomal RNA
Source: RNAcentral
AGUGGCGGACGGGUGAGUAACGCGUGAGAAUCUGCCUUGGGGUCGGGGACAACCACUGGAAACGGUGGCUAAUACCGGAUACGCCUUCGGGUAAAAGAUUUAUUGCCCUAAGAGGAGCUCGCGUCUGAUUAGCUAGUUGGUGAGGUAAGAGCUCACCAAGGCAGCGAUCAGUAGCUGGUCUGAGAGGACGAUCAGCCACACUGGGACUGAGACACGGCCCAGACUCCUACGGGAGGCAGCAGUGGGGAAUUUUCCGCAAUGGGCGAAAGCCUGACGGAGCAAGACCGCGUGAGGGAGGAAGGCUCUUGGGUUGUAAACCUCUUUUCUCAGGGAAGAAGCUCUGACGGUACCUGAGGAAUCAGCCUCGGCUAACUCCGUGCCAGCAGCCGGUAAUACGGAGGAGGCAAGCGUUAUCCGGAAUUAUUGGGCGUAAAGCGUCCGCAGGUGGCGAUUCAAGUCUGCUGUCAAAGCACGGGGCUUAACUCCGUAAAGGCAGUGGAAACUGAAUAGCUAGAGUGCCGUAGGGGUAGAGGGAAUUCCCGGUGUAGCGGUGAAAUGCGUAGAGAUCGGGAAGAACAUCGGUGGCGAAAGCGCUCUACUGGACGGCAACUGACACUCAGGGACGAAAGCUAGGGGAGCGAAUGGGAUUAGAUACCCC